AUUGAACGCUGGCGGCAUGCCUUACACAUGCAAGUCGAACGGCUGCACGGGAGCAAUCCUGGUGGCGAGUGGCGAACGGGUGAGUAAUAUAUCGGAACGUGCCCAGUCGUGGGGAUAACGUAGCGAAAGCUACGCUAAUACCGCAUACGAUCUACGGAUGAAAGCGGGGGAUCGCAAGACCUCGCGCGAUUGGAGCGGCCGAUAUCAGAUUAGGUAGUUGGUGAGGUAAAGGGCUCACCAAGCCGACGAUCUGUAGCUGGUCUGAGAGGACGACCAGCCACACUGGGACUGAGACACGGCCCAGACUCCUACGGGAGGCAGCAGUGGGGAAUUUUGGACAAUGGGCGCAAGCCUGAUCCAGCAAUGCCGCGUGCAGGAUGAAGGCCUUC
RNAcentral lists this ribosomal RNA (389 nucleotides) under uncultured bacterium. RNAcentral describes it as "bacterial SSU rRNA". It matches the Rfam family "Bacterial small subunit ribosomal RNA", at positions 30 to 419 of the family's 1533-position model. The record is from RNAcentral.